This 1450-nucleotide ribosomal RNA is filed under the name Kytococcus schroeteri. RNAcentral describes it as "bacterial SSU rRNA". It matches the Rfam family "Bacterial small subunit ribosomal RNA". Lineage: Bacteria; Bacillati; Actinomycetota; Actinomycetes; Micrococcales; Kytococcaceae. The record is from RNAcentral.
CGUAACCGCCUGGCGGCGUGCUUAACACAUGCAAGUCGAACGGUGAAGCGGGUGCUUGCACUCGUGGAGCAGUGGCGAACGGGUGAGUAACACGUGAGUAACCUGCCCAUCACUCUGGGAUAAGCGCUGGAAACGGCGUCUAAUACUGGAUACGACCAACCCUUGCAUGGGGUGUUGGUGGAAAGAUUUAUCGGUGGUGGAUGGACUCGCGUCCUAUCAGCUUGUUGGUGGGGUAAUGGCCUACCAAGGCGACGACGGGUAGCCGGCCUGAGAGGGCGACCGGCCACACUGGGACUGAGACACGGCCCAGACUCCUACGGGAGGCAGCAGUGGGGAAUAUUGCACAAUGGGCGAAAGCCUGAUGCAGCGACGCCGCGUGAGGGAUGACGGCCUUCGGGUUGUAAACCUCUUUCAGCAGGGAAGAAGCUUUUGUGACGGUACCUGCAGAAGAAGCACCGGCUAACUACGUGCCAGCAGCCGCGGUAAUACGUAGGGUGCGAGCGUUGUCCGGAAUUAUUGGGCGUAAAGAGCUUGUAGGCGGUUUGUCGCGUCUGCUGUGAAAAUCUGGGGCUUAACCCUGGACGUGCAGUGGGUACGGGCAGACUAGAGUGUGGUAGGGGAGACUGGAAUUCCUGGUGUAGCGGUGGAAUGCGCAGAUAUCAGGAGGAACACCGAUGGCGAAGGCAGGUCUCUGGGCCAUUACUGACGCUGAGAAGCGAAAGCAUGGGGAGCGAACAGGAUUAGAUACCCUGGUAGUCCAUGCCGUAAACGUUGGGCGCUAGGCGUGGGUCUCAUUCCACGAGAUCCGUGUCGAAGCUAACGCAUUAAGCGCCCCGCCUGGGGAGUACGGCCGCAAGGCUAAAACUCAAAGGAAUUGACGGGGGCCCGCACAAGCGGCGGAGCAUGCUGAUUAAUUCGAUGCAACGCGAAGAACCUUACCAAGGCUUGACAUGCACCGGACAGUCCCAGAGAUGGGAUCUUCUUCGGACUGGUGCACAGGUGGUGCAUGGUUGUCGUCAGCUCGUGUCGUGAGAUGUUGGGUUAAGUCCCGCAACGAGCGCAACCCUCGUUCUAUGUUGCCAGCACGUGAUGGUGGGGACUCAUAGGAGACUGCCGGGGUCAACUCGGAGGAAAGGUGGGGAUGACGUCAAAUCAUCAUGCCCCUUAUGUCUUGGGCUUCAAGCAUGCUACAAUGGCCCGGUACAGAGGGUUGCGAUGCCGUGAGGUGGAGCGAAUCCCAAAAAACCGGUCUCAGUUCGGAUUGGGGUCUGCAACUCGACCCCAUGAAGUCGGAGUCGCUAGUAAUCGCAGAUCAGCAACGCUGCGGUGAAUACGUUCCCGGGCCUUGUACACACCGCCCGUCAAGUCACGAAAGUCGGUAACACCCGAAGCCGGUGGCCUAACCCUUGUGGGAGGAGCCGUCUAAGGUGGGACCGGUGACUGGGAUGUU